AGUAGACGCUGAAGAGAGGAGCUUGCUCUUCUUGGAUGAGUUGCGAACGGGUGAGUAACGCGUAGGUAACCUGCCUUGUAGCGGGGGAUAACUAUUGGAAACGAUAGCUAAUACCGCAUAACAAUGGAUGACACAUGUCAUUUAUUUGAAAGGGGCAAUUGCUCCACUACAAGAUGGACCUGCGUUGUAUUAGCUAGUAGGUGAGGUAACGGCUCACCUAGGCGACGAUACAUAGCCGACCUGAGAGGGUGAUCGGCCACACUGGGACUGAGACACGGCCCAGACUCCUACGGGAGGCAGCAGUAGGGAAUCUUCGGCAAUGGGGGCAACCCUGACCGAGCAACGCCGCGUGAGUGAAGAAGGUUUUCGGAUCGUAAAGCUCUGUUGUAAGUCAAGAACGAGUGUGAGAGUGGAAAGUUCACACUGUGACGGUAGCUUACCAGAAAGGGACGGCUAACUACGUGCCAGCAGCCGCGGUAAUACGUAGGUCCCGAGCGUUGUCCGGAUUUAUUGGGCGUAAAGCGAGCGCAGGCGGUUUGAUAAGUCUGAAGUUAAAGGCUGUGGCUCAACCAUAGUUCGCUUUGGAAACUGUCAAACUUGAGUGCAGAAGGGGAGAGUGGAAUUCCAUGUGUAGCGGUGAAAUGCGUAGAUAUAUGGAGGAACACCGGUGGCGAAAGCGGCUCUCUGGUCUGUAACUGACGCUGAGGCUCGAAAGCGUGGGGAGCGAACAGGAUUAGAUACCCUGGUAGUCCACGCCGUAAACGAUGAGUGCUAGGUGUUGGAUCCUUUCCGGGAUUCAGUGCCGCAGCUAACGCAUUAAGCACUCCGCCUGGGGAGUACGACCGCAAGGUUGAAACUCAAAGGAAUUGACGGGGGCCCGCACAAGCGGUGGAGCAUGUGGUUUAAUUCGAAGCAACGCGAAGAACCUUACCAGGUCUUGACAUCCCGAUGCUAUUUCUAGAGAUAGAAAGUUACUUCGGUACAUCGGUGACAGGUGGUGCAUGGUUGUCGUCAGCUCGUGUCGUGAGAUGUUGGGUUAAGUCCCGCAACGAGCGCAACCCCUAUUGUUAGUUGCCAUCAUUCAGUUGGGCACUCUAGCGAGACUGCCGGUAAUAAACCGGAGGAAGGUGGGGAUGACGUCAAAUCAUCAUGCCCCUUAUGACCUGGGCUACACACGUGCUACAAUGGUUGGUACAACGAGUUGCGAGUCGGUGACGGCAAGCUAAUCUCUUAAAGCCAAUCUCAGUUCGGAUUGUAGGCUGCAACUCGCCUACAUGAAGUCGGAAUCGCUAGUAAUCGCGGAUCAGCACGCCGCGGUGAAUACGUUCCCGGGCCUUGUACACACCGCCCGUCACACCACGAGAGUUUGUAACACCCGAAGUCGGUGAGGUAACCUUUGGAGCCAGCCGC
This 1410-nucleotide ribosomal RNA is filed under the name Streptococcus sp. 2010_Ileo_MS_VIIIf. RNAcentral's name for it is "bacterial SSU rRNA". It matches the Rfam family "Bacterial small subunit ribosomal RNA". The record is from RNAcentral. Lineage: Bacteria; Bacillati; Bacillota; Bacilli; Lactobacillales; Streptococcaceae.